Molecule: unclassified non-coding RNA, 329 nt
Filed under: soil metagenome
Description: partial contains 5.8S ribosomal RNA, internal transcribed spacer 2, and large subunit ribosomal RNA
Rfam family: 5.8S ribosomal RNA (bases 1-120)
Source: RNAcentral
GAUGAAGAACGUAGCGAAAUGCGAUAAGUAGUGUGAAUUGCAGAAUUCAGUGAAUCAUCGAAUCUUUGAACGCACAUUGCGCCCCUUGGUAUUCCGAGGGGCAUGCCUGUUCGAGCGUCAUUAUAACCCCUCAAGCUCAGCUUGGUGUUGGGGCCUGCUGCACUGGCAGCCCUUAAAAUCAGUGGCGGCGCCAUCUGGCUCUAAGCGUAGUAAUUCUUCUCGCUAUGGAGUCCUGGUGGAUGCUUGCCAUCAACCCCCAAUUUUUCUAUGGUUGACAUCGGAUCAGGUAGGGAUACCCGCUGAACUUAAGCAUAUCAAUAAGCGGAGGA